This 254-nucleotide ribosomal RNA is filed under the name uncultured Butyrivibrio sp. RNAcentral's name for it is "partial 16S ribosomal RNA". It matches the Rfam family "Bacterial small subunit ribosomal RNA", at positions 524 to 776 of the family's 1533-position model. The record is from RNAcentral. Lineage: Bacteria; Bacillati; Bacillota; Clostridia; Lachnospirales; Lachnospiraceae.
UACGUAGGGGGGCAAGCGUUAUCCGGAUUUACUGGGUGUAAAGGGAGCGCAGACGGCAGCGAAAGUCUGAUGUGAAAUCCCGGGGCUCAACCCCGGAACUGCAUUGGAAACUGCGCAGCUCGAGUAUCGGAGAGGUAAGCGGAAUUCCUAGUGUAGCGGUGAAAUGCGUAGAUAUUAGGAGGAACACCGGUGGCGAAGGCGGCUUACUGGACGAAGACUGACGUUGAGGCUCGAAAGCGUGGGGAGCAAACAGG